UGAAAUUUGACCAACUCCUUAACUACACAGGACUCCAACAGAUAAGGACACCUAGAUAGUUGAGUCCCACUAGGAGAAUGUCACUUACUACUAUAAAUACAGAACCUUGAGCCAUUAUUCAUGUACGUUUUUCAUUAUUCUCCAGUCUAUAGCCUCACGCAUAUAAUUCUCUUUCUGACUUAAGCAUCGGAGGGGCGACGAGAACAUACCUUGUUGCCUUUGUUUCAGGUACUGGAAGACUACUAUCGUGCUCAAUCCAAAUCAUUAAACUCGAAAAAUCUGCAGGUACGAUUUUUGGUAGCAUCACUAGACAUAAAAACUCAACCAUUUGAAUAUUUUGUUGAUUCUUGCUUGUUUGGAUAUUGCACAUGGCUUGAGCACUCCGUUACUUAGCAACCAUAUUGUAUCAACAAAAAUGCCUGAUGUUCACAGGGCCUGUACAGGCUCACUCACAUGCUGAGUAAGGGAGUGGGGGUGGGUGAUUAUUUAAAAUAAAUAUAUAUAUAUAUAUAUAUAUAUAUAUAUAUUACCCCCACCCCCUAUAAUGUGUGUGGCUUGAAAUAGGACCCGUACAUGCAACAUAAUUUAUUGAACCAACUUGAUAGCUGCGUUUCUAGGCAUCUGGCAUCAGUUUAUAUUCUCAUUUAUUUUCCUAUUUAAUUGCCCGUGGAAUUAUUGUUCUAGGUUCACCAGUGGAGCAAAUGACGGAAUUUUAUAGUCAUACUCGUUGGAUUCAUGUUUUGCUGGGGCGUUUUUUCGAAUGUAAAUUCAAAAUAUACUAUGGUUUAUACAUGACUUAUUUUUUCUUCUAAUUCUCAGUUCACCUUUAUCUGUACUUUAGAACAGUGUGGUAAACGCGAUAAAAGAGGUGCUAAAAGAGAAGAUAGUGCUCCUUCAAGUUAUCGUGCUCAGAGGCACGCCGCACACUUAAUUGAACAUUCGUUUCCUCGAGAUUCUAUUUUUUUCAUUCUUUUCGAGAUAAAAACAUAAUCAUUGCUUUUAACAAUGUAUGUGUUUCGUGUAUUCACCAAAGUGGUAAAGGUACAAAAUGUAGUAGAUUCUUUCUCUCGAAUUUAAACUCUCAAGUAAAUGUUACAUCUAUCACUAUCUGUCACUAAUACUAAAUAAUUAAAUUUCAAUUAAGAUAAAUGCAACUUUGACUUGGGGCAGCAGCAAUUAUUACCAUGUCACCAACUGUUAUCUUAUAAUUGGCUCUGCUUCCGUGGAAUACGGUUGAAAUCACCGAGGUUGUACGCGGCAUCCCAACAUUUUGGCUACGUUUGAGUAUUAGACAAUAUUUUCUGCUUUUUAGGCAUCGUUUGAUUCUCAUUUUUAUUGAAAUAUAUUUUUUUUAAUCACAUAUUUUUAUUAAAAUAAUAUUAUACAUAAAUCAAAAAAAUUUCGUUCUUUUUUAUUCACACAUUCUCCAUUAAUCUACAACUCUAAAAUUUAUUUUUUCUAUAAAAAUACAGCUCAAACACCCACUAAAAUUAGACAAUAGGAGUUGGAAGUUGAAAAUGCAAUGCCACGUGAAGAGAACUCAAAGAGGCCAGUUAGUUCAACUUUUCAAACUUAUCCCCAUCUUUAUUAAUGCAAAUAUAGGUGCCAUUGCCCAACUACUUUUGGACUAAAAAAG
RNAcentral lists this long non-coding RNA (1636 nucleotides) under Olea europaea subsp. europaea. The record is from RNAcentral. Lineage: Eukaryota; Viridiplantae; Streptophyta; Magnoliopsida; Lamiales; Oleaceae.